AUGGCAUCUACGGUGGUUCUCCUCCUCGUGGCCGCGCUGGCGUGCGUGCUCGGCGGCGCCGACGCGAAGCUCGGCAGGCUCGUCGUCAGCGGCGUCGUGCCGUGCAACACCGGCAGCCUCAUAGACAUCGCCACCUCCCCCGUGUUCCCGAACGCGGAGGUGGAGCUGCGGUGCGCGGGGCAGGUGGUGGCCGGCGCGACGACCAACACCAACGGCUCCUUCACGAUGGAGGCGGACCUGACAAGCGCGCUGGCGGCGUUCAUCGGCCGGUGCUCGCUGGUGGUGGACACGCCGCUCAUCAAGUGCGACGCGCAGCUGCCGCCGGCGGGGAAGCUGGUCUCCUACCUGCAGGGCCCGCUCACCAGGCUGCUCGGCGGCAUCUUCCACCUCUUCCCCGCGGGCUUCUCCUUCCACAGCCGAUGA
Molecule: ribosomal RNA, 423 nt
Filed under: Triticum aestivum (bread wheat)
Lineage: Eukaryota; Viridiplantae; Streptophyta; Magnoliopsida; Poales; Poaceae
Description: partial small subunit ribosomal RNA
Source: RNAcentral